GACAGAGGUGGCGAGCGUUGUUCGGAAUUACUGGGCUUAAAGGGCGCGUAGGCGGUGGUGUAAGUCUGGGGUGGAAUGCUACAGCUCAACUGUAGAGCUGCCUUGGAAACUGCAUUACUUGAGUCGGUGAGGGGAAGGCGGAAUUCCUGGUGUAGCGGUGAAAUGCGUAGAUAUCAGGAGGAAGGUCUGUGGCGAAGGCGGCCUUCUGGCACUUGACUGACGCUGAGGCGCGAAAGCGUGGGGAGCAAACAGGAUUAGAUACCCUGGUAGUCCACGCCCUAAACGGUGGGUAUUAGGUGUGGGGCCUUCAUGGGUUCCGUGCCGUAGCGAAAGCAUUAAAUACCCCGCCUGGGGAGUACGGCCGCAAGGUUGAA
This 374-nucleotide ribosomal RNA is filed under the name uncultured bacterium. RNAcentral describes it as "bacterial SSU rRNA". It matches the Rfam family "Bacterial small subunit ribosomal RNA", at positions 524 to 898 of the family's 1533-position model. The record is from RNAcentral.